Molecule: small nucleolar RNA, 138 nt
Organism: Tachyglossus aculeatus (Australian echidna)
Lineage: Eukaryota; Metazoa; Chordata; Mammalia; Monotremata; Tachyglossidae
Source: RefSeq, a predicted model, not a curated record
GUCUUCUCAGAGUCACACCUGGAGAAUUUCCAGUACUCUACCAGUUACAGCUACAGGAGGGAGAGUCAAGCAGAGGCCUACCUAUUUCGUUCCUAGCUUGGGCAGUAGCUAGUGAGUGGAAGGCAAUCUGCUACAAGU